Molecule: long non-coding RNA, 1357 nt
Organism: Bos taurus (domestic cattle)
Lineage: Eukaryota; Metazoa; Chordata; Mammalia; Artiodactyla; Bovidae
Source: Ensembl
AUACAAACGGCCCCACUCCGCCAAUCUGGGCCAAAUGGCUGGCUUCUGGCUCCCUGUGGUUUCUGGAAGGCAGGAAGCCGCAGACAGCAGACCACGGAGGGCGCCAGCGAGACAGCCUUUCUCUUGGCUUCAUGAUUCAAAGGUCUGGGAUGGAACCUGAGGAUCUGCAUUUCAACGGGCUCUCAGAACUUUUAUGAGUUUGAAAACCCAAUCAGAAGAGACAACCAGGGGACGUGUCUCAAAGGCAUGUUGGAAUCAUAAGCCCAGUCUUCAUUUCAGUUUUUGUUUCACGUCGUUUGGAGGUUGCACCACAAGGACUGAGUGAAGUGAGAACACAGCCCCCCUGGCGGCAGGAAAACCCUAACUAAUAGAGCUCCCAUCACAGAAGCUCACCCAGGUUGGCUACCCAGCAAUAGUGCACAAUAGGAGUGCUAAGUUGCUUCAGACUCUUUGCGACCCCGUGGACUAUAGUCCAGCAGGCUCCUCUGUCCAUGGGAUACUGAACGCAAGAAUACUGGAGCGGCACAUUAGGGACAAGACACAAAAGCAAAGUCAAGUCUGGUCCAUUCUACCUGCCCCAAGGCACUGGCCCAGCUUCUCAGCCCAAGGUUCUGGUCUGCUGCUGCUAAAGUGAAUGAGGAAUGUUGCAACAACAUCUGGAGCCGCCCCCAGCGGAAGCCUGCAGAGUGGCAGUGGCAGCGGUGACAGCUCAGAACGCAGGCCUCUCACCGUGUGGACAUCCACGCAUCCACCAGCACACACAGACUAUGUGCACGUGGUCAUGUCUACAUGUCCACACGUACACAUGCACAUGCGUGUGUGUUUGUACACCACACAAGCAUGCCCUCUCCGGCUCCAUCCGGACUCAGCCAUCCAGCUGGGUGGGAAGCAGGCAGCCAGAGAGAACAGAGCUCCCCAGACCAGAAGCGGGCAUCUGCCCAAUGGUGCAGUGUGGUCACAGAGGCCAGAAGGCACAGGGGCAAGUCUGUGUCCCUGAGGCCCCUGGCCCCUCACCUGGCGGCAGGCCGAGGAUCUUCAGAACCAAUGGACAAUGGGGAAACCUCGCAUUUUGUUCCCUGUGUGCCCCUGCAUCUCCUGUGGGUCUCCUUGCGGGCUCCUCCCCUGGACCCUCUCCCUGCACACAGGUGUGUGUCACUGAUCAGCUUUAUCCUUUCUCUCAUUCAUCCUUUCCCAGGCAGAGUGUCCACAUCUCUCUCUCUCACACACACACACACACUCACAGUGCACAGGCCUUGGUCUCCAUCCUACUCACACUCCUUGUGAAAUACUCUGGCACACAUUUCCCUGGGUCUCCAUGAUUCUUUCCUUCUCCAUCCCCUCAUGCCCUUCUCCCAGU